Mustela lutreola (European mink) is the source of this 973-nucleotide long non-coding RNA. RefSeq lists it as uncharacterized. The transcript has 3 exons. Lineage: Eukaryota; Metazoa; Chordata; Mammalia; Carnivora; Mustelidae. The record is from RefSeq and is a predicted model, not a curated record.
GUCCGGAGCGGGGAUGUUUGCUGUGGGCUCCAACGUCACAUGCUUGCUUUGGAAUCCCAGCCGCUUGAAGACUAGCAGAGACCUUCACACCCCCGCAGGGUGCUGGAGCAGUAUACUCGAGGAGCGCUGGAACCCGUCGGCAAGGGGAGGGGAGCUCCUUGGAGGAGGUGCCUUCUCAGGGGAGAUCUCAGAAAAUCAGUGAGUUGAGGAGGGUUCCUGUGUCACAGAGCUGAAGAAUGAUCUUGCGGACAAGAGGGUGAAGUCAAGUGAAAGUUUAUCAUGCGAAGGUGAGAACAGAGAGGAGGGCUCUCGAGCGUAAAAGGGGCCGAACGCACUGCCACUGAGGAUGUUUAUGUAUUAUGCAACCAUGGUGGAUAACCUUAUCAUCUCAAAGAGAAACUGCAUGGCCGUGAGCAGUCACUCCCCACCCUAUCUCCAGCCUGGGUAACACUCAGUGUGUCUGGGGAUGUCCUUUCUCUGGACAUUUCCAAUGAAUGGAAUCAGACAAUAUGUAGUCUUUUGUGUUUGACUCCCUUCAUUAGCCUGAUGGGUUUUUUAUUAAGAUUUUAUUUUUAAUGUCUUCCAUGUUAUUCCUAUGCUCCACCAGAAAGUGAAACCAUGUGAUAACUGACUUUCUCUGCUUGACUUAUUUCACACAGCAUAGUCUCCUCCAGACCCGUCCCUGUUAAUACAAUAGUUGGGUAUGCUUUCACUUACUUGGGGAGCAUAAGGAAUAACACGGAGGACAUGGGGAGAUGGAGAAGAGAAGGGAGUUGUGGGAAAUCAGAGGGGGAGAUGAACCAUGAGAGACUGUGGACUCUGAGACACAAACCGAGGAUUUUGGAGGGGAUGCGGUGGGAGGUUGGGUGAGCCUGGCUAUUUAGAAGGGCACGGAUUGCAUGGAGCACUGGGUGUGGUGCAUAAACAAUGAAUCUUGGAACACUGGAAAAAUAGAAUAAAAUUUUUAAAAAUG